RNAcentral lists this ribosomal RNA (468 nucleotides) under uncultured bacterium. RNAcentral describes it as "partial 16S ribosomal RNA". It matches the Rfam family "Bacterial small subunit ribosomal RNA", at positions 28 to 507 of the family's 1533-position model. The record is from RNAcentral.
GACGAACGCUGGCGGCGUGCUUAACACAUGCAAGUCGAACGGAAAGGCCCUGCUUUUGUGGGGUGCUCGAGUGGCGAACGGGUGAGUAACACGUGAGUAACCUGCCCUUGACUUUGGGAUAACUUCAGGAAACUGGGGCUAAUACCGGAUAGGAGCUCCUGCUGCAUGGUGGGGGUUGGAAAGUUUCGGCGGUUGGGGAUGGACUCGCGGCUUAUCAGCUUGUUGGUGGGGUAGUGGCUUACCAAGGCUUUGACGGGUAGCCGGCCUGAGAGGGUGACCGGCGACAUAGGGACUAAGAUACGGCCCAGACUCCUACGGGAGGCAGCAGUGGGGAAUAUUACAAAAUGGGCGGAAGCCUGAUGCAGCAACGCCGCGAGCGGGAUGACGGCCUGCGGGUUGUAAACCGCUUUCGCCUGUGACGAAGCGUGAGUGAAGGUAAUGGGUAAAGAAGCACCGGCUAACUACGUG